RNAcentral lists this transfer RNA (67 nucleotides) under Stenamma expolitum. RNAcentral's name for it is "tRNA-Phe". Lineage: Eukaryota; Metazoa; Arthropoda; Insecta; Hymenoptera; Formicidae. The record is from RNAcentral.
AUUUAAGUAGUUUAUUUUUAAAACAUAAUAUUGAAGAUAUUAAGAAAAUUUUAUUAGUUCUUAAAUA